RNAcentral lists this long non-coding RNA (893 nucleotides) under Mus spicilegus (steppe mouse). RNAcentral describes it as "lncRNA (ENSMSIG00000017595.1)". The record is from RNAcentral. Lineage: Eukaryota; Metazoa; Chordata; Mammalia; Rodentia; Muridae.
GACAGCUGAGAUGCUGAGAUAAUUGUGGGAGGAGUCAGGCUAUGCACAAAUUCUAAAGACAUAUUGUGAAGGGUACAUGCCUGGGCUCACUCCUCACAGAGCUGGAGUAUGAGAAGGAGAUCUUGCUAAGAAACUCCCCCAUCUGGUCUGACACUGAAGCUCCUGUCCCCUGAGGUUUUGUCUUCAGCAAGGAGCAGCCUCCUAAGCUACCAUCUCUAUCAUGGCUAUUGUUACUGCUCUUGUUCUUAGAGCUCUGCUCAUGGGAACUGUGGUGACUUUUCUGAUGUGGAAGAGGAAGACUAGAGGAGGUAAAGUCUCUAGGAUGUUCAGCCUUCUGUUACAGCAGUAAAACGAGACAUCCUAAGGGGCCUGAUGUACAACAGGUAAAAGACAAGAUGCUAUAACCCUGGACGAUGGGAAUUUAGGAUUGGGAUAGUUUGAGUGUGUGAUGGUCUCUUCAGUAUGUCACCAUUUAAAGACACUGAUCCAAAUUUCUUCCUUGUCUUUUUACCUACAGGAUAAGACAGAUUCCUUUAUGUGGUACUGAACUAUACAAUAUUUGUUCUGUUUUCUCCUCCCAUUGUGGCUUCAAGAUCUGGUGCUUUCUCCUUCUACAUCUGACUGCAACUGUGAUUCUCUCUCCUCUGAGCACAAUAUAAUAGGCCAUGGGCAACAAAAAUUUCAUCCCCACCCUUACUGUGUGUGUUCCCCAGUCAUCUCUUGUGCUUCAACAGUCAUGGCUGGGAAAUCUCCAUCCCUGAUUGAAAUUAGCUUUCGAUGAGCUACAGCUUUAUGCUUCUUUUUUAAAUUAAGCAUUUGAAAGUGGUUAUGCAACUUCUAUUCAGAUUGUGUGAUUGAUGCGUGUUCUAAAGAUGAGAAAAGUUGAUGAAGAA